This 1317-nucleotide long non-coding RNA is filed under the name Camarhynchus parvulus. RNAcentral describes it as "lncRNA (ENSCPVG00000018316.1)". Lineage: Eukaryota; Metazoa; Chordata; Aves; Passeriformes; Thraupidae. The record is from RNAcentral.
GUUUGGUGUGUGAGAAGCCAGUUUGCACGUGGCAGAGCCGUGGUUGCUCAGCCCUGGCUCUCACUCCACAUGCCCAUCCAGGGUUCCAUCCAUGCCCAAGGGCAGGCAGAGCCUGUGCCCCCUCCCACAGGCUGCUGCAGGGGGUGCUGGGCUCCCUGCAAACACACCACGGUGCACAGGAGCAUCUCUGUGAUGCUCGUCCCUGUGCGUGUCACUGUCAUCAAGUAAGGGCUGGGGACAGUCCUCUCCUGCCUGGCGACAGCGGUGUUUGUGUCCCUGUGUCCCACAGCUCAGGCUUUCACGGGCAUAUCUGACAAACAGCUCCACACCAAGUGACCCAGAGGCCCCUCCUGAGGCCGGGCUGAGGCGGGAUGUCGGCGCACAGAAGGGAGAUGCAGAUGACAAUGAUGCCGAGUCUGGGAAGCAAGAGUCCGAUGAGCCAGACACAACGGACAGUGAGGAGAAGUAUGAAGAUGAGAUCCUACAAGAAGCUGAGGCUGACGGGAAAUACUUUUGCACCAAAGACAAAGUUCAUGUGCAGCAGAGGAAGAGAAAAAGAGGACAGGAUCCCUGGAUAAAAGGUAAGGAGGAGAAGUUCCUCGGGGCAUCAGCUCAAGGCUACAUCUUCUGCUGCUUCCAGAGGGACUCCUGUGAGAAAUGCCCCAGGACAGGGCACAGGAGGGUUCUCCUCUGAGCCGUGUUUUUGCAACACUCAUUUCUCCAGACAGAGGAGCCCCAGCUAAUGGUUAGCCAGGACAGCCUGGGCAGGGUGGCCAGGAGAGCACCCCAAGCACCUAAGCUAACAGAACUUAGCCCCUUGUGUUUGCUUAUCUGGUCAGGGAGGUGGUGACUGGGGAAGGCCAAAUUCCCAGGGGUGUGUUAUUGACAGUCAGAGAAAAGUUCCUGCCACUUCUGUUGAUCUUCCAGUGUGCCUGUGGAGGUUUCCCUGCUGACAGAGGAAUGUGUUGUACCCAUGUUCCCUCCAGGUGAACAAGCAGAAAACUGCUCCUGAUAAGGGCAAGGAUAAGACAGUUUGUCUGUCAGGCCUUAAAAAAUGCUCUGUCAGAAAACCCCACUGCUCACCACUCUGUCCUGGUGGUAAAAACAGCCAAGUGCUAGCCCAACCAUAAAUGUAGAGAGGGCUGUUGCUUAAGCUUGAAGGGAGCUUUUUUACCAGCCUGGUCUUCAGAGGGCCCUGCUGACUCAGGGGACAGCAGCACAGGUGGGUGACAAGAGGGUUUGCUGUACAGAACAGCCACUUGGAGCAAUGGGGAGGAGCACAGCUGUGCUGUGCAGCCCAGGGCAGACACAUUUAAC